Molecule: ribosomal RNA, 761 nt
Filed under: uncultured bacterium
Lineage: Bacteria
Description: bacterial SSU rRNA
Rfam family: Bacterial small subunit ribosomal RNA
Source: RNAcentral
UCGACGGUAACAGGGAGCUUGCUCCGCUGACGAGUGGCGAACGGGUGAGUAAUGCAUCGGAACGUACCUUUCAGUGGGGGAUAACGUAGCGAAAGUUACGCUAAUACCGCAUAUUCUGUGAGCAGGAAAGCAGGGGAUCGCAAGACCUUGCGCUGAUUGAGCGGCCGAUAUCAGAUUAGCUAGUUGGUGAGGUAAAGGCUCACCAAGGCGACGAUCUGUAGCGGGUCUGAGAGGAUGAUCCGCCACACUGGAACUGAGACACGGUCCAGACUCCUACGGGAGGCAGCAGUGGGGAAUUUUGGACAAUGGGGGCAACCCUGAUCCAGCCAUGCCGCGUGAGUGAAGAAGGCCUUCGGGUUGUAAAGCUCUUUCAGCCGGGAAGAAAUCACAUGGGUUAAUACCCUGUGUGGAUGACGGUACCGGAAUAAGAAGCACCGGCUAACUACGUGCCAGCAGCCGCGGUAAUACGUAGGGUGCGAGCGUUAAUCGGAAUUACUGGGCGUAAAGCGUGCGCAGGCGGUUUGUUAAGAUAGGCGUGAAAUCCCCGGGCUCAACCUGGGAACUGCGUUUAUGACUGGCAGGCUAGAGUAUGGCAGAGGGGGGUGGAAUUCCACGUGUAGCAGUGAAAUGCGUAGAGAUGUGGAGGAACACCGAUGGCGAAGGCAGCCCCCUGGGCCAAUACUGACGCUCAUGCACGAAAGCGUGGGUAGCAAACAGGAUUAGAUACCCUGGUAGUCCACGCCCUAAACGAUGUCAACUAG